RNAcentral lists this long non-coding RNA (957 nucleotides) under Equus asinus (donkey). RNAcentral's name for it is "lncRNA (ENSEASG00005028122.1)". Lineage: Eukaryota; Metazoa; Chordata; Mammalia; Perissodactyla; Equidae. The record is from RNAcentral.
CCCGCGCCCCAGCUCGGCUCGCGGGCGGGCGGCCCGGGUCCGCCCGAGUCGGCUGGAGCUGUUGCCAUGACGAGCAUUUUCGCGAGAAAGCUCUGCCGCUGAGACUGUCCGACGCGGGGGCCGAGGGAGGGGCGCGAACUUCCUGGGGACGCAUCCCUCCGCGGAGAGCGAGCCCGGGGACCCCCCGCCCAGCUCUGCUGCGCCCGUUUUCUUCCGGGACCCCGCGAGGUCCUUCCACUGGGCCGGAGCGGGACGGGCGGAGAGCGCAGCCGGCAUCUCGCGCGCGGUGGCCGCGCCGGGGCGGCCCGGGCGCCUGCCUCGCUCCGUCCAUGGAAACCCGCAGGGCGAGCGCCGCGCGGAGCCUGGACCUUUGCUAGAAAGAGGAAAGGAUGAGAAAGUUCGCUCUUCCAUCCGAUCAUCCCUUAGGCUGGCAAAGUGCUGGAAACAGAGCGAGCAAGAGCCUACCUUCCCCAGAAUGCCCCAGGCCGAGUGACUAAUCCUGACCAGUCAGGAGGGACCUCCCAGACGUCUGAGACUUGAGGCCACGUGAGCAUCGAUGCAUUAUUCUUUGCCAGUUGCCUAAUAAGGUUAGGGGCUAGGCAAGCUCAGCAGCUACGGAGAGCUCAUAAUGUUCUACCAGCUCAGAGCUCAGAGAGGAGUGUCGGUACCUACCACACCUCUGAAUUCCUGACAGACUUUCAUGGAGAUCCCGCCGUGAACUGGGCCCCAGCUGGGCACUGCCCCUCAGACUUUGUGCCAGCAGCUUAAUGCUUGACCUCUGCGUGUGUCUCUAAAGCAGCCUGAAGCAGAGAAACCUCUCAUUCUUUUCGAUGUGCCUCAGAUGUUCUGAUCUUAAGUGACCUUUUCUCAUUGGUUGCCCAUAUGAAUGGAAGCAUCUCUCCUCUUUGCUACCUUGAGGGAGAGGUUCAGAGUAAGGAAUUCUGACUCAGACUGUCC